This 366-nucleotide ribosomal RNA is filed under the name uncultured fungus. Its description in RNAcentral is "eukaryotic LSU rRNA". The stretch from base 1 to 52 matches the Rfam family "5.8S ribosomal RNA", at positions 103 to 154 of the family's 154-position model. Lineage: Eukaryota; Fungi. The record is from RNAcentral.
AACGCACCUUGCGCCCUCUGGUAUUCCGGAGGGCAUGCCUGUUUGAGUGUCAUUAAAUUCUCAACUUCAAAAGUUUUUAUUAACUUUUUGAAGCUUGGAUGUGGGGGUUUGCUGGCGUCUUUAGAUGUUCGGCUCUCCUUAAAGUUAUUAGUGGGAAUGUCUUUUGUUAGGCGAUCCUUGGUGUGAUAAUUAUCUACACUUUGGAUAGUCUAAUGGUUCCAUUGGGAUUAGUUGGUAUUGCGAUUAAGUUUGCUUUACUUGAGUCUCAGAGGAAAAGAUAAGUUCUGCUUUCUAACCGUCUGUGUUACAUGGACAAUUUAUUGACUAUUUGACCUCAAAUCAGGUAGGACUACCCGCUGAACUUAA